UUAAGCGACUAAGCGUACACGGUGGAUGCCCUGGCAGUCAGAGGCGAUGAAGGACGUGCUAAUCUGCGAUAAGCGUCGGUAAGGUGAUAUGAACCGUUAUAACCGGCGAUUUCCGAAUGGGGAAACCCAGUGUGUUUCGACACACUAUCAUUAACUGAAUCCAUAGGUUAAUGAGGCGAACCGGGGGAACUGAAACAUCUAAGUACCCCGAGGAAAAGAAAUCAACCGAGAUUCCCCCAGUAGCGGCGAGCGAACGGGGAGCAGCCCAGAGCCUGAAUCAGUGUGUGUGUUAGUGGAAGCGUCUGGAAAGGCGCGCGAUACAGGGUGACAGCCCCGUACACAAAAAUGCACAUGCUGUGAGCUCGAUGAGUAGGGCGGGACACGUGGUAUCCUGUCUGAAUAUGGGGGGACCAUCCUCCAAGGCUAAAUACUCCUGACUGACCGAUAGUGAACCAGUACCGUGAGGGAAAGGCGAAAAGAACCCCGGCGAGGGGAGUGAAAAAGAACCUGAAACCGUGUACGUACAAGCAGUGGGAGCACAGAGCAAUCUGUGUGACUGCGUACCUUUUGUAUAAUGGGUCAGCGACUUAUAUUCUGUAGCAAGGUUAACCGAAUAGGGGAGCCGAAGGGAAACCGAGUCUUAACUGGGCGUUAAGUUGCAGGGUAUAGACCCGAAACCCGGUGAUCUAGCCAUGGGCAGGUUGAAGGUUGGGUAACACUAACUGGAGGACCGAACCGACUAAUGUUGAAAAAUUAGCGGAUGACUUGUGGCUGGGGGUGAAAGGCCAAUCAAACCGGGAGAUAGCUGGUUCUCCCCGAAAGCUAUUUAGGUAGCGCCUCGUGAAUUCAUCUCCGGGGGUAGAGCACUGUUUCGGCAAGGGGGUCAUCCCGACUUACCAACCCGAUGCAAACUGCGAAUACCGGAGAAUGUUAUCACGGGAGACACACGGCGGGUGCUAACGUCCGUCGUGAAGAGGGAAACAACCCAGACCGCCAGCUAAGGUCCCAAAGUCAUGGUUAAGUGGGAAACGAUGUGGGAAGGCCCAGACAGCCAGGAUGUUGGCUUAGAAGCAGCCAUCAUUUAAAGAAAGCGUAAUAGCUCACUGGUCGAGUCGGCCUGCGCGGAAGAUGUAACGGGGCUAAACCAUGCACCGAAGCUGCGGCAGCGACGCUUAUGCGUUGUUGGGUAGGGGAGCGUUCUGUAAGCCUGCGAAGGUGUACUGUGAGGCAUGCUGGAGGUAUCAGAAGUGCGAAUGCUGACAUAAGUAACGAUAAAGCGGGUGAAAAGCCCGCUCGCCGGAAGACCAAGGGUUCCUGUCCAACGUUAAUCGGGGCAGGGUGAGUCGACCCCUAAGGCGAGGCCGAAAGGCGUAGUCGAUGGGAAACAGGUUAAUAUUCCUGUACUUGGUGUUACUGCGAAGGGGGGACGGAGAAGGCUAUGUUGGCCGGGCGACGGUUGUCCCGGUUUAAGCGUGUAGGCUGGUUUUCCAGGCAAAUCCGGAAAAUCAAGGCUGAGGCGUGAUGACGAGGCACUACGGUGCUGAAGCAACAAAUGCCCUGCUUCCAGGAAAAGCCUCUAAGCAUCAGGUAACAUCAAAUCGUACCCCAAACCGACACAGGUGGUCAGGUAGAGAAUACCAAGGCGCUUGAGAGAACUCGGGUGAAGGAACUAGGCAAAAUGGUGCCGUAACUUCGGGAGAAGGCACGCUGAUAUGUAGGUGAAGUCCCUCGCGGAUGGAGCUGAAAUCAGUCGAAGAUACCAGCUGGCUGCAACUGUUUAUUAAAAACACAGCACUGUGCAAACACGAAAGUGGACGUAUACGGUGUGACGCCUGCCCGGUGCCGGAAGGUUAAUUGAUGGGGUUAGCGCAAGCGAAGCUCUUGAUCGAAGCCCCGGUAAACGGCGGCCGUAACUAUAACGGUCCUAAGGUAGCGAAAUUCCUUGUCGGGUAAGUUCCGACCUGCACGAAUGGCGUAAUGAUGGCCAGGCUGUCUCCACCCGAGACUCAGUGAAAUUGAACUCGCUGUGAAGAUGCAGUGUACCCGCGGCAAGACGGAAAGACCCCGUGAACCUUUACUAUAGCUUGACACUGAACAUUGAGCCUUGAUGUGUAGGAUAGGUGGGAGGCUUUGAAGUGUGGACGCCAGUCUGCAUGGAGCCGACCUUGAAAUACCACCCUUUAAUGUUUGAUGUUCUAACGUUGACCCGUAAUCCGGGUUGCGGACAGUGUCUGGUGGGUAGUUUGACUGGGGCGGUCUCCUCCUAAAGAGUAACGGAGGAGCACGAAGGUUGGCUAAUCCUGGUCGGACAUCAGGAGGUUAGUGCAAUGGCAUAAGCCAGCUUGACUGCGAGCGUGACGGCGCGAGCAGGUGCGAAAGCAGGUCAUAGUGAUCCGGUGGUUCUGAAUGGAAGGGCCAUCGCUCAACGGAUAAAAGGUACUCCGGGGAUAACAGGCUGAUACCGCCCAAGAGUUCAUAUCGACGGCGGUGUUUGGCACCUCGAUGUCGGCUCAUCACAUCCUGGGGCUGAAGUAGGUCCCAAGGGUAUGGCUGUUCGCCAUUUAAAGUGGUACGCGAGCUGGGUUUAGAACGUCGUGAGACAGUUCGGUCCCUAUCUGCCGUGGGCGCUGGAGAACUGAGGGGGGCUGCUCCUAGUACGAGAGGACCGGAGUGGACGCAUCACUGGUGUUCGGGUUGUCAUGCCAAUGGCACUGCCCGGUAGCUAAAUGCGGAAGAGAUAAGUGCUGAAAGCAUCUAAGCACGAAACUUGCCCCGAGAUGAGUUCUCCCUGACUCCUUGAGAGUCCUGAAGGAACGUUGAAGACGACGACGUUGAUAGGCCGGGUGUGUAAGCGCAGCGAUGCGUUGAGCUAACCGGUACUAAUGAACCGUGAGGCUUAACCUU
This 2904-nucleotide ribosomal RNA is filed under the name Escherichia coli KTE91. Its description in RNAcentral is "bacterial LSU rRNA". It matches the Rfam family "Bacterial large subunit ribosomal RNA". Lineage: Bacteria; Pseudomonadati; Pseudomonadota; Gammaproteobacteria; Enterobacterales; Enterobacteriaceae. The record is from RNAcentral.